UACGUAGGGGGCAAGCGUUAUCCGGAUUCACUGGGCGUAAAGGGAGCGCAGGCGGCAUGGCAAGUCUGAUGUGAAAGCCCGGGGCCCAACCCCGGGACUGCUCUUGGAACUGCGUGGCUGGAGUGCAGGAGGGGCAGGCGGAAUUCCUGGUGUAGCGGUGAAAUGCGUAGAUAUCAGGAGGAACACCGGUGGCGAAGGCGGCCUGCUGGACUGCAACUGACGUUGAGGCCCGAAAGCGUGGGGAGCAAACAGG
Molecule: ribosomal RNA, 253 nt
Filed under: uncultured bacterium
Lineage: Bacteria
Description: partial 16S ribosomal RNA
Rfam family: Bacterial small subunit ribosomal RNA
Source: RNAcentral